ACAAGGAUUCUGUUCAUGUUCUUCCUGUUCUGGAGGUUCUGGUCUUGGCUUCCCUAAUUCGUCUGUCUUCAUCCAUCAGUGAUGUCUUCAUUCCAGCUGGGAUCAGUCAUUGUCUGAAUCAGAUGAGCCCAAAGACAAACACUGAGGUUCUGUCUGCAGGUCUUGAUGCAGAACACAGCUUCUCAGUUUAAACGUUUCGAACGAGUGGAUCUUCCAGGAUCUUCACUUCCUGCAUGAAACCCAACUCCUCCUCAGAGCUUCACUCGCUGUCCCUGAAGCUUCACUUUUCCUCUUCUAAUCCAAACACCAACUUCCAGACGUCCCAGGAGAUUCCUGCACUCAGCGGAUUUAAGGAUUUCAGAAGCAGGUUUCAGAUCUGUUUUCAUUUCCAUCUCUGUGGAAAUGUCCUGAACCAGCCCUCAUUUCCUCACAUUUAGUUCUGGAGAAUCUAAAAUAGCUUCAGGAAAUUUAUUAAAACAUGUGCAAACAGAAGUUGAACCCAGAAUCAGAAACAGAGUUGGUACAUUCCCAACUGCCUUAAAGGUCCAUAUCUGCUUUGAGCUCCUUUAUUCUUCAUCCCAGCCAAAGUUUCUCAGACAAACCUUAUGGGAACAUCUGAUAUUCAUCUUGAGGAGAACUUCUCCAGGCUUCUUGAAGGAAUGUUGAAGCUGUUCUUUGAAGGUUUGCUUCCAGCUGUAAACCUGUAAACCCAGUUAUUUCUCCUCGUUCUGCUUCUCAACAGAAUCAGCUCUGAAGAACCAGGAGGAGUUUCUGAAGAACAAUUGAGUGGAGAACAGUGAGUCUGAUUUGGAGCUGAAGAACAUUGUCUUCUGAAGCAUCUCCAGUGAUAAUCAGCUUUGGUGUCCAUGUCUCCAUCAUGGCUGAGCCUUUUCCACUUUAUCAAUGACCGUCUCCAAAUAUGAGAGUGAAACUGGAAGCUUAAAGAUGAAGCUAAUAAGACUUGUUGAACAUCUGAGAAGUUCUUGUUGCUGAGUGCUGAAAGCUUCAGGAUGACCUGUAACAGAGGUGGAGAAAAAUCCACCAAUCAGAGCAGUUGUUACUGUUGGACUCUGAGUAAAAACCUUCAUCUGGUCUGAUUUGACAUGCUGUUGCUUUUCUUCAUGUUUUGGCCCAGAGAUCAUGGAGCAAUGAAGGCUGAAGACUGAGAGAUGUCGGUUCCAGUCCCAUAAGGACUUUGCUUCCUGGUCAGUGCUGUUCUGUCUGCUGCAGCCAGAGGGCGCUGCUCUGCACAGUUGUUCUUCAACAUGAUUUAUCAUCUGCUUCGUUGGAGUCAACCAUUUCAGGCAACUCAUCUGUGGCCGUUUCUGGAGACUCCUUUCUAGCGUCCUCUGAUUCAUCUGAUGCCGCAGUGAUUGUUCACACAAACGGAGGGACCGUCCAAGAUCUGAGAGGAACUGACAGGAAGCAGCUAAAGUGACGAUGUGAACGCCUCAACACACCUCAUACACCUCAGCUGACAGAGGAUAGAGGACCUGUGGAGGAGGAGGAAAGGAGGAAGAGGAUGCAGGUGGUGGAGAGGUUUCAGACGGCUCCUUCUGAGGAAAUAGCAGCUCUCUGUGGAUCCAGGGUGAGACACUUACUGAAGUAAACCUGGAGUAAUUCUGUUUGGUUUCUAAGACCUCAUUGCUUCAGUCCAAACUAGAUCAGGUCUUUGAUCCGAUUGUUCGUCCUCCUCCGUCUCCAUCUGGACAAUCGUCUCGUCGUUGGACGCCGAUCUAUGAGAUGAACUUUCCUGACCUCUGUGUGUAUUAGAGACUCAACAGGAUGACCUGGAUCAUUAUGAAGCAUCUGAUGAUGUGUUCAAGGAACAGAGGACAGAACAACUGAGGACUGGAAACAUGUAGCAUGAGUCAUGUUUUGUGUUCAUAGAAGAAGUUUUUCUCAGUGGCUGUUUUGUUCCUCUGAGAAAGAUUUAGUUUUGUGUUGAUCUCAGUAUUUCCCAGUUUUAUGUUUCAUUUAGUUGUGAUUCUUGAAGUGUGAUUGUCAAAAAGAAAACUUUAUUUAAAUCAUGUUGAAUUAAUUCAACUUUAACUGUCUUUUUAUUUAGUUUUGUCCCUAAACUUUAAACCAACUUUUUAAUAUUCUGAAACAUUGCUGAUAAACUGUUGGAGAUGAUGAUCUCAGAGUGGAAAGUUUGAACCAUGUUUCAUGUAUCAUGUGUGACCUGGUAGAUCAAGGUGUUGGUUAGUAUGAACUGCAUGGGCUUCAUCUAAAACCAACUGUGUCAGGGUUUAAACGCAGCAAACUGGAGGAAGGACAGACAGGGUAUGAAACACAGAAAACAUCUGAUUCAUGGAGACACUGAUCAAGAAUGAUCAUAUCUGUGCAGCGUCCCAACUCAGUUACCUUCUGCUACAACUAAUCUGUCCACUAGAGGGAGCACAGAUACUUCCACAGGUUCUGCUUCAAACUUAAAGAUGAAAUAACUGCAUUCAGUGUUAUUUGACUACUUUGUUAAAUCUUUGAAUAAAGAAAUGUAUGUUUUUAUUUCCUUGUUUUCCUUCAAAUAGUUUUAAGAAGCAACGUUCAGCUUUCUGACUCAAUAACUCAUUUUAUUAAGAAUUGGAGGAUAAAGAAACCAAACACUGACAAACACAUUUAACACGACUAAAACAAGAUGAAAUGCUGAAGGAAAGAACUCAGUGUGUCAUGUUCAUUUUUCAUGAUGUGUUUUUAAUCAAAUAUUUAGACUGAAAAUAAAACAAGUCAAAUAAAACAACAGCAACAAAUUU
Molecule: long non-coding RNA, 2753 nt
Organism: Girardinichthys multiradiatus
Lineage: Eukaryota; Metazoa; Chordata; Actinopteri; Cyprinodontiformes; Goodeidae
Exons: 4
Source: RefSeq, a predicted model, not a curated record